GCCAGGCUGAUGAGAGGAAGGGGACUCUCCCUUUUAAGCUGCUCACGACCCCCUUGGCUAGUCGAUGUGGGACUAAAGCCGAGGCACUGACUACCGGCCCCUAACAUCCCACCCCCCUUGGGAAGCCCCCCAAGGCAGACAUGGGCCAACCGGGUUCUGAUACCAGAUGUCAGCGUCCAACCCCUGGCCCAGCCCACACUCAAUAGCUUCGGGCGUUGAUGCGCUCGUGGGCUAGCCUAGCCAAGAGAGCCCACCACUCACAUCCCAAAAGCCAGGCUGAUGGAAGGAGGGGGACUCUCCCUUUUAAGCUGCCUACGGCCCCCUUGGCUAGCCGAUGUGGGACUAAAGCCGGGGCACUGACUACCGGCCCCUAACAUCCCACCCCCUUGGGAAGCCCCGCGAGGCAGGCAUGGGCCAACCGGGCUCUGAUACCAGAUGUCAGCGUCCAACCCCCGGCCCAGCCCACACUCGACAGCUUCAGGUGUUCAUGCGCUCGUGGGCUGGCUCAGCCAAGAGAGUCCACCACUCACAUCCCAAAAG
RNAcentral lists this long non-coding RNA (540 nucleotides) under Zea mays. RNAcentral's name for it is "long non-coding RNA (ZMAY_LNC005664)". Lineage: Eukaryota; Viridiplantae; Streptophyta; Magnoliopsida; Poales; Poaceae. The record is from RNAcentral.